RNAcentral lists this ribosomal RNA (177 nucleotides) under uncultured bacterium. RNAcentral's name for it is "partial 16S ribosomal RNA". It matches the Rfam family "Bacterial small subunit ribosomal RNA", at positions 1326 to 1500 of the family's 1533-position model. The record is from RNAcentral.
CCGGAAUCGCUAGUAAUCGCGGAUCAGAAUGCCGCGGUGAAUACGUUCCCGGGUCUUGUACACACCGCCCGUCACACCAUGGGAGUCGGAAAUGCCCGAAGCCGGUGACCCAACCCGAAAGGGAGGGAGCCGUCGAAGGCAGGUCGGAUGACUGGGGUGAAGUCGUAACAAGGUACC